ACUGCUCAGUAACACGUGGAUAACCUGCCCAAGGGUCUGGGAUAACCCCGGGAAACUGGGGAUAAUACCGGAUAGAUCACCUAUGCUGGAAGGGCUUGGUGGUUUAAAGGUAACGCCUUUGGAUGGGUCUGCGGCGGAUUAGGUUGACGCCGGUGUAAUGUACCGGCGUGCCUGUAAUCCGUACGGGUUGUGGGAGCAAGAGCCCGGAGAUGGAUUCUGAGACACGAAUCCAGGCCCUACGGGGCGCAGCAGGCGCGAAAACUCUACAAUGCAGGAGACUGCGAUAGGGGGACAUCGAGUGGCAUCUACCUUGGGUGCCUGUCCAACCGUCUAAAAAACGGUUGUUAGCAAGGGCCGGGUAAGACCGGUGCCAGCCGCCGCGGUAAUACCGGCGGCUCGAGUGGUGGCCGAUAUUAUUGAGUCUAAAGGGUCCGUAGCCGGCUUUGCAAGUCCCCUGGGAAAUCCAGCGGCUUAACCGUUGGGCUUUCAUGGGAUACUACAUUGCUUGGGACUGGGAGAGGUAGGAGGUACUCGGGGGGUAGGGGUGAAAUCCUGUAAUCCUCCGGGGACCACCGGUGGCGAAGGCGUCCUACCAGAACAGGUCCGACGGUGAGGGACGAAAGCUAGGGGCACGAACCGGAUUAGAUACCCGGGUAGUCCUAGCCGUAAACGAUGCCCGCUAGGUGUCACGACAGUCGUGAAUUGUCGUGGUGCCGUAGGGAAGCCGCGAAGCGGGCCACUUGGAAAGUACGACCGCAAGGUUGAAACUUAAAGGAAUUGGCGGGGGAGCAC
This 792-nucleotide ribosomal RNA is filed under the name uncultured archaeon. RNAcentral's name for it is "bacterial SSU rRNA". It matches the Rfam family "Archaeal small subunit ribosomal RNA", at positions 85 to 879 of the family's 1478-position model. The record is from RNAcentral.